Molecule: non-coding RNA, 804 nt
Organism: Nicotiana tabacum (common tobacco)
Lineage: Eukaryota; Viridiplantae; Streptophyta; Magnoliopsida; Solanales; Solanaceae
Source: RefSeq, a predicted model, not a curated record
AAGUGGGAAGUCCACCGAACCUUUCUGCCAUAUUGUUUAUUACACAAGAAAGAAGUCCAUAUGGCCAUUGUGCUUCUAUUCCUAUUGUAGCUGCGGGUCUUGCUGCUCUAGGUGGCCAAGCAGUUGCUUUAAGUGCUCAGGUUGCUUAUCUUGUAAGUGGUCAAGCUGGAUAUGUUGCUCUUGUAAGUGGUUAAGUUGGUCUGGUUGCUGCCAUAAGUUGCCGAGCAGAUAGGGAUGCUGCUGAAACAAAUCAAGCUGCUACUUUUAGCAUCCAACGUAGCCCAGCAGAGGCGGAUCUAAGAUCCUGGAUCCAGCAUGUCAUUUGUUCUAUGUCGCCAAGCAGCUGCUACAAGUGUCCAACCUGACCUAGCUGCUGCUCUAAGUACUGGAAAAGCUGUGGGUGCCACUGUUUUUUGCAUCUGGCUGCUAGGCUAACUGUAAAUGGAAAGAACAUUGUUGCUCAAAAUGAUUUCUGACAGCAUUCAUAAGGCAUCCUAUAAAUCAUGAGACGGGUAGCAGCCAACGAUGCAUAUUGGUUCAGCAUCAAACAAUCCAGCCAAAAUGUGGAGCUUUAUCAUAUGUAGCUGAUCACUGAACAUCGUCCAAUUUUUUGAUCUUGCUAGUGUACAUAUUAGUAGGUGAUUGAGUUUAGACAUCAUGUUUUGCCUCACAAGAUUUGGUCAACUGUGCAUUCAUUUCUUUCCUCUAUUAAGCUAGGAGAAGAACAAGCGGGGAAAAAGCUAUAAUUUCGACAAAGUUGGGAAGUAUGUAAAUUAUUCAAGUAGAGUAUCUCCUCCUUUUUCU